UACGUAGGGACCAAGCGUUGUUCGGAUUUACUGGGCGUAAAGGGCGCGUAGGCGGCGUGGUAAGUCAGCUGUGAAAUCUCCGAGCUUAACUCGGAACGGUCAGCUGAUACUGCUGUGCUAGAGUACAGAAGGGGCAAUCGGAAUUCUUGGUGUAGCGGUGAAAUGCGCAGAUAUCAGGAGGAACACCGAUGGCGAAGGCAGGUCUCUGGGCCAUAACUGACGCUGAGAAGCGAAAGCAUGGGGAGCGAACAGG
RNAcentral lists this ribosomal RNA (253 nucleotides) under uncultured bacterium. Its description in RNAcentral is "partial 16S ribosomal RNA". It matches the Rfam family "Bacterial small subunit ribosomal RNA", at positions 524 to 776 of the family's 1533-position model. The record is from RNAcentral.